RNAcentral lists this ribosomal RNA (374 nucleotides) under uncultured organism. RNAcentral describes it as "partial 16S ribosomal RNA". It matches the Rfam family "Bacterial small subunit ribosomal RNA", at positions 527 to 896 of the family's 1533-position model. The record is from RNAcentral.
GUAGGUGGCAAGCGUUGUCCGGAAUUAUUGGGCGUAAAGCGCGCGCAGGCGGUUCUUUAAGUCUGAUGUGAAAGCCCACGGCUCAACCGUGGAGGGUCAUUGGAAACUGGAGAACUUGAGUACAGAAGAGGAAAGCGGAAUUCCACGUGUAGCGGUGAAAUGCGUAGAGAUGUGGAGGAACACCAGUGGCGAAGGCGGCUUUCUGGUCUGUAACUGACGCUGAGGCGCGAAAGCGUGGGGAGCAAACAGGAUUAGAUACCCUGGUAGUCCACGCCGUAAACGAUGAGUGCUAAGUGUUAGGGGGUUUCCGCCCCCCCCUAGUGCUGCAGCUAACGCAUUAAGCACUCCGCCCUGGGAGUACGGCCGCAAGGCUG